This 132-nucleotide ribosomal RNA is filed under the name Cebus imitator (Panamanian white-faced capuchin). Lineage: Eukaryota; Metazoa; Chordata; Mammalia; Primates; Cebidae. The record is from RNAcentral.
UGUCUACGUCAUACCACCCUGAGCACACCUGAUCUCAUCUGACCUUGGAAGCUAAGCGAGUUUGGCAUGGUUAGUACUGGAUGGGAGACAUAAUUUCAAGGUAACAGUCUGUGAGUUAAAUAACAGAAAUAA